GACGAACGCUGGCGGCGUGCUUAACACAUGCAAGUCGAGCGGUAAGGCCCUUUCGGGGGUACACGAGCGGCGAACGGGUGAGUAACACGUGGGUGACCUGCCCUCAGCUCUGGGAUAAGCCCGGGAAACUGGGUCUAAUACCGGAUAUGACUCCAUGACGCAUGUUGUGGGGUGGAAAGCCUUGUGCGGCUGAGGAUGGGCCCGCGGCCUAUCAGCUUGUUGGUGGGGUGAUGGCCUACCAAGGCGACGACGGGUAGCCGGCCUGAGAGGGCGACCGGCCACACUGGGACUGAGAUACGGCCCAGACUCCUACGGGAGGCAGCAGUGGGGAAUCUUGCGCAAUGGGCGAAAGCCUGACGCAGCGACGCCGCGUGAGGG
Molecule: ribosomal RNA, 378 nt
Filed under: uncultured bacterium
Lineage: Bacteria
Description: bacterial SSU rRNA
Rfam family: Bacterial small subunit ribosomal RNA
Source: RNAcentral